AAUAAAUAAUACGUAAUUAGUAGUUAAUUCAACAUAAUAACUAAAAUAGGAGAAUAUAAUUAAUCAGAACUUGAACCAUCAUUCUUUCUACAUUUUUUUAACUCAAUAUAUCCUCUUUAAUUUUGAGAUCCAAACAUGUUACACAUAUUCAUUGCCUACGAUUAUUAUGAAAUAAACUAAAUGAAUAUAAUAAACUAAAUGAAUAUGCAGAUUAAAUAUAUCUAAGCUUUCCGAGAUUUAUGUUAAGAAAACAAGUAAUUUGAAAGAUGUUUGAGGAGCUAUCCUUAUAACUAAUACGUAAGAUAUAAGAUUAUGACAAGAACUUAACUAAACUUUCCAAGAACAUCAAGUUGAAUAUGAUUAGAUUGGAUAUGCAGAGACAUGGUUAAUAAAGACAUGUUAUAUUUUUAAUGUAAGAAAUAAAUUUUCUAAAAUUUCACCGUCUUACAAACUAAAUAUAUAACCAAAAGAACAAGGAUAUAUAAAUUAAAAAAAAAACUGAGAAUCUAAAACAAUAAUAAAAAAACAACUCAAGCACUUUCGUUUUCAGAUGAACUAAUAUAGUUGGACUUUUUGAAAAUAAUUACAAAUCAUAUUUAUGUUUCAAAACCGAUGCAUUCAACUUUACUUUAUAUGAACAACAUUAUAUAAAACAAUUUGUAAAUAGUAAUACAUAAAUCCGCACGUAGUGCGGGUACUCAUCUAGUAAAAAUAAAAAUUGAAGUAGAAACCCAUUUAACUU
Molecule: small RNA, 742 nt
Filed under: Arabidopsis thaliana (thale cress)
Lineage: Eukaryota; Viridiplantae; Streptophyta; Magnoliopsida; Brassicales; Brassicaceae
Description: ATSL147410
Source: RNAcentral